Molecule: unclassified non-coding RNA, 330 nt
Filed under: soil metagenome
Description: partial contains 5.8S ribosomal RNA, internal transcribed spacer 2, and large subunit ribosomal RNA
Rfam family: 5.8S ribosomal RNA (bases 1-120)
Source: RNAcentral
GAUGAAGAACGUAGCGAAAUGCGAUAAGUAAUGUGAAUUGCAGAAUUCAGUGAAUCAUCGAAUCUUUGAACGCACAUUGCGCCCCUUGGUAUUCCGAGGGGCAUGCCUGUUCGAGCGUCAUUAUAACCCCUCAAGCUCAGCUUGGUGUUGGGGCCUGCUGCACUGGCAGCCCUUAAAAUCAGUGGCGGCGCCAUCUGGCUCUAAGCGUAGUAAUUCUUCUCGCUAUGGAGUCCUGGUGGAUGCUUGCCAUCAACCCCCAAUUUUUCUAUGGUUGACCUCGGAUCAGGUAGGGAUACCCGCUGAACUUAAGCAUAUCAAUAAGCGGAAGGA